Strongylocentrotus purpuratus (purple sea urchin) is the source of this 334-nucleotide long non-coding RNA. RefSeq lists it as uncharacterized. The record is from RefSeq and is a predicted model, not a curated record. The transcript is spliced from 2 exons. Lineage: Eukaryota; Metazoa; Echinodermata; Echinoidea; Camarodonta; Strongylocentrotidae.
AUCGCCAUCACUUCCUGAAGAUUCAACAGGAUGUGGAUCUGGAUUGCCUGAACCAAUAUCCAUCGCAAGUGACCAGAUAACACAGUCUGACAGCCAUGCAGAUUCUCCGCUCCAUCCAAACAUGCAGUGUGGUCAGAGAAAUCCUGAAACAUGUGACAAUUUCAUGUGUACUGAUGAAGUUUGGGCAGCGUGUCCAGAGUGCUUGUGUUUCUUAUGCUUCCUUCAUUUUAACUUACGUGAUGAUUGCCUUUGUCAUAAUCUUGCAUUCAAUCUCAGUGAAAUUCCACUUGACAUCAGUUCAAGUGCAUCACAGUACCAAGGGCUCACCAACGAA